UGUCGUUGAAGACGGUCCCGUUGAUCUGGCUCGGCUUCAGAGCCACCCAGUUCAACACCGGCAUCCGGAACUUGGUCUGGAUCGGCUUCUUUAUCUUCACCGCUGCACGCAGAGAGACAGGUGCUCGUCCAGGUUGAGUUUGGUGAAGUCGUACUGCAGGUGGACUCUGAAGUUCAUAUCCUCCACCGAGUGAACCACGAUGUUGAUGAACUGCAUGCAGGCCACCUGAGAGACCGUUUUGAAGUUGUCGAAGGCCGACAGGAUGAUCUCAUGUCCUCCUCUGACCAAACAAACUGCCGCCAGCAACUCCAACACCAGAGCCUUUGUCCUGACGACGAGAGACAGGUGAGAGACAGGUGAGAGACAGGCGAGAGACAGGCGAGAGACAGGCGAGA
This is a long non-coding RNA of Trematomus bernacchii (emerald rockcod), 395 nucleotides long. RefSeq lists it as uncharacterized. The record is from RefSeq and is a predicted model, not a curated record. NCBI's taxonomy places the organism in Eukaryota, Metazoa, Chordata, Actinopteri, Perciformes, Nototheniidae. The transcript has 3 exons.